Molecule: transfer RNA, 71 nt
Filed under: Chrysaora quinquecirrha
Lineage: Eukaryota; Metazoa; Cnidaria; Scyphozoa; Semaeostomeae; Pelagiidae
Description: tRNA-Met
Rfam family: tRNA
About the family: Transfer RNA (tRNA) molecules are approximately 80 nucleotides in length. Their secondary structure includes four short double-helical elements and three loops (D, anti-codon, and T loops).
Source: RNAcentral
AGUAAAGUGGACUACAGGUAAGUUAUCAGACUCAUAAUCUGAAGAAGAAGGUUCGAUUCCUUCCUUUACUA